Molecule: ribosomal RNA, 324 nt
Filed under: uncultured fungus
Lineage: Eukaryota; Fungi
Description: partial 18S ribosomal RNA
Rfam family: Eukaryotic small subunit ribosomal RNA (bases 1-68)
Source: RNAcentral
CUUGGUCAUUUAGAGGAAGUAAAAGUCGUAACAAGGUCUCCGUAGGUGAACCUGCGGAGGGAUCAUUACACAAAUAUGAAGGCGGGCUGGAACCUCUCGGGGUUACAGCCUUGCUGAAUUAUUCACCCUUGUCUUUUGCGUACUUCUUGUUUCCUUGGUGGGUUCGCCCACCACUAGGACAAACAUAAACCUUUUGUAAUUGCAAUCAGCGUCAGUAACAAAUUAAUAAUUACAACUUUCAACAACGGAUCUCUUGGUUCUGGCAUCGAUGAAGAACGCAGCCCCCCCGUGCCCCCGCCCCGCCCGCCGCCGCGCGGCGGGCGA